RNAcentral lists this ribosomal RNA (1194 nucleotides) under Triticum aestivum (bread wheat). RNAcentral describes it as "partial small subunit ribosomal RNA". Lineage: Eukaryota; Viridiplantae; Streptophyta; Magnoliopsida; Poales; Poaceae. The record is from RNAcentral.
UUGUGCUUGCCACCGCUCGUAAUCGACCGAGAGACACGGACGCGCGGUAUGUCGACAACCGCCGGCAGCACCCAGUCGUCGUCAUCGCCGCAUUGGUCUGACCUGCCAGACGACCUCCUCGGGCUGGUCCACCUCAGGCUUGCCUGCCCGCGCGAUCGUGUGCGCGUCGCCGCCGUUUGCAAGGGGUGGCGAGCCGCCGCGUCGCUGCUCCCGCGGCCGCCGGCCCGCCUGCUUCUGCUCGUGUCGCCGCGGCGUGUCCGAUGCAACGGGACGAAGCGGCUGUGCGGCCCCGACGACAGCUGGGUCGUGCGCGUUCCAGACAAGGCAGAAGGCAAGUGGUUCCUCGGCUCACACGAAGGCGGCUGGGUCGCUGCGGUCGACUGCAGCAAGCUCGUCAUCGUGAAUCUCUUCUCUGGUGCGGAGGUGGAGGCCAGCCCAUCUCCAGACGUAGAUGACAUCGGAACAACCAGCCUUCAUAAAAUCAUCUUCUCCGAAGCCCCCUCCUCUAGCAGCUGCAUCCUUGCAGCCAUAGCUUAUCAGCGGUGCCACAUUGCACUGUGUAAAGUUGGCCGCCACCAGAGCGGGUGGACCGUAAAAACAUUGGGCGAAAAGUUCAUUAUAGACAUCGCAUUCUGCAAAGGUGAGCUAUAUGGUCUUGUCUAUCCUAACGAGGAGCUAAUCAAGUUCAAAAUUGACAUGAAGGCAGAGGGCACGCCGGUCAUCACAUCCUGCCACCCGCUGGCCAUCGAAAGGCGCCAGGGUCCCCAGCUAUCUGAGGGCCAUCUCAUCGAGCUACACGGCAAGCCAUGUAUGGCAAUAGAUCGGCCGUGGUUGCCCAACCGAGAGUCCUUCUUCAAGGUUUUUACGCUUGUCGACACCGAUAACGACAAGGCUUACAAGUACAAGUGGGCAGAAAUACUUAGUUUUGAUGACCACGCCUUGUUCUUAGGGGUGAAUUGGUCUAAAGCGGUGCACGUGACGGCAGAUGGGCAUCAUGGAUUGGAGAGAAAUCAAGUCUACUACUCGGAAGAAAACUUAUCGCCAACAAAGAAGUUGCCCGAUGAUGUGGUGUACCUUGUUACAAUUGACAACGACGGGCAAAUGUACUGUAGGGAAGACCAAAGUGUUGGUGAUGGGGUCGAGAGGACAGGAUAUUACGUGACGAAUCGUAAACAUCGUCCCAUGUGGGUUUGC